RNAcentral lists this ribosomal RNA (816 nucleotides) under uncultured Actinomycetes bacterium. Its description in RNAcentral is "bacterial SSU rRNA". It matches the Rfam family "Bacterial small subunit ribosomal RNA", at positions 534 to 1354 of the family's 1533-position model. The record is from RNAcentral. Lineage: Bacteria; Bacillati; Actinomycetota; Actinomycetes.
GCGAGCGUAUCGGAUUAUUGGGCGUAAAGAGCUCGUAGCGGUUCAACAAGUCGGGUGUUAAACCCCCAGGCUCAACCUGGGGCCGCCACCCGAAACUGUUGUGACUAGAGUUUGGUAGGGGAUCACGGAAUUCCUGGUGUAGCGGUGGAAUGCGCAGAUAUCAGGAGGAACACCAGCAGCGAAGGCGGUGAUCGGGGCCAAUACUGACGCUGAGGAGCGAAAGCGUGGGGAGCGAACAGGAUUAGAUACCCUGGUAGUCCACGCCGUAAACGGUGGGCACUAGGUGUGGGGACUUUUCAACGGUUUCCGCGCCGCAGCUAACGCAUUAAGUGCCCCGCCUGGGGAGUACGGUCGCAAGAGUAAAACUCAAAGAAAUUGACGGGGGCCCGCACAAGCAGCGGAGCAUGAGGCUUAAUUCGAUGCAACGCGAAAAACCUUACCUAGAUUUGACAUGCAGGGAAAAGCCACAGAGAUGUGGUGUCCUUCGGGGCUCAGCACAGGUGGUGCAUGGCUGUCGUCAGCUCGUGUCGUGAGAUGUUGGGUUAAGUCCCGCAACGAGCGCAACCCUUGUUCUAUGUUGCCAGCACGUAAUGGUGGGGACUCGUAGAAGACUGCCGGGGUCAACUCGGAGGAAGGUGGGGACGACGUCAAGUCAUCAUGCCCCUUACGUCUAGGGCUGCACACAUGCUACAAUGGGCGGUACAGAGGGCUGCUAAACCGCGAGGUGGAGCCAAUCCCUAAAACCGCUCUCAGUUCAGAUUGCAGGCUGCAACUCGCCUGCAUGAAGUUGGAGUUGCUAGUAAUCCCGGAUCAGCA